CCAUGACCUGAGCCGAAGGCAGACGCUCAACCGACUGAGCCACCCAGCUGCCCCUGAUGUAAUUUUUAUAAAGAGUGUCAGGAUCCUCAGAAAACAGGCAUUGGUAGGAGUUGAUGAUGAUAGUAGCUCGGUCAGUGCCAAGACUAAGCUAAGUACUUGACAGCCGGGCUGGGUGGCAUAACUUACUCCCAUUUUAUAGAUGAGGAGCUGGGCUCCUGACACAGCUUCAAAGGGUGACAUUCAAGAAGCCCCUUGUAUAUUGCAAAUCAGAGAAGCUGGGGUAAACUCAGGAGCCCUAGAGGCCAAGCAAAUUCCCAAAAUGAGUUAUUUGGGAGAGAAAAACCUGAUGAUAUGACAAAAGGCAAGACAGUGUGUUUUCAAAUUGGUCACAAACGAUGCUCCAGAUUCCUGCUUCUACAGUUAUCCAAAUAACAGAAGCAAAACCACCCCGAAUGUUGAGGUGAAAAUUCACUUGGGUGUUUAUUGCUACAUUCACUUAAACUGUUCCUCAAAAAUCCACAUGUUUCUUUUUCUUCCUGGUUUUUAAAAUUUAUUUAUUUAUUUAUUUAUUUACUGUUUAUAACGAUUUUAUUUUAUUUUAUUUUUUUAAAGAUUUUAUUUAUUUAUUCAUGAGAGACAGAGAGAGAGACAGAGGCAGAGGGAGAAGCAGGCUCCCCGCGGAGCAGGGAGCCCAAUGCGGGACUCGAUCCCAGGACGCUGGGAUCAGGACCUGAGCCGAAGGCAGACGCUUAACCGACUGAGCCACCCAGGCGUCCCAUUAACGAUUUUAUUUAUUUGAGUGAGAGAGAGCAGGAGAGACAGCAAGCAGAGGGGAGCAGCAGAGGGAGAGGGAGAAGCAGGCUUCCCGCUGAGCCGGGAGCCAGACGCGGGGGCUCGAUCCCAGGAUGCUGGGAUCAUGACCUGAGCUGAAGGCAGACGCUGGAUGGACUGAGCCACCCAGGUGCCCCUGGUUUUAUUUAUUUUGAUGUUAAUGCACAGCUGCGCUGUUCUGUCAACAUGGUGCACUGCUUCUUUAGUUUUAUCAAACAGCAAGCUGGCUUAGUCAAGAGUGUAGCGUCACGGAGCCAAGGCGGGUUAGUUAGAGCGUCGUUGCUUGAAGGCUGAUGUCGCCAGAGGGAUCAAAGCACUCAGGGAUGAUCUGAUGCCUUGGCUUCCUAUGGGCUCUGCCUCGCCUGAAAGGCUCUUGUAGCUCUCCUUCCUGUGAUGGGGAAAUACCCCAGGGCGUCAGGAAAUUCCUGCCCGGGCAGGGAGCUGACUUCCCGGGGAGUCUAAGCCCAGUCCCCGGCCGCCAAUCAGCAGCGGCGCUGCCUCCAACGGACGAGCAGAACGAAGCCCAACAAAUGCAGCUGGAACUUGAACAAACAGAUUUGGGAGACCGUGGUGUCUGUUUGACAGCUGACGCCCAGGGCUUGCUGGUUCACCUCUGUGAGCCUUAGCUGUGCCAUCAUAGGGAGGACGGACGUCUUCCCUCAGCCAGGAAUGAGGAAUGGACGUGCAAGCACCGAGUGAACAGAAAGGCACCACAAGAACGUGAAAUAUGGGUAAGAUAUUAUUUCAAAACUCCUUGUUAAGGCACCCAAAUGCUGGGGGCAAGACGAAGGAGGGGCAAAACAAAGGAAAGGAUGAUAUUUGGCAAUCGCAGGGACUGGAAAAAGCCCAAAUACUGUAGGAGAGGAGAAAAGAACUUGGGGCUCCUUCUCCGGGACCAGAGGGUAGGACCGACUUGGGCGAUCACAGCGAUUUAAAAUACUUCUCCCUUUUGCUUUGCCUAAAUUGAGAAACAAGUUAAGCCCACCCAUCAGGAGGAAAUGAAACGAAAUGAAACAAAUGUCAAAACAUCACCUCUCAAAUUUCACGAAGGGAAAUGGUAUAGUUACAACACAAUGCUGGGUCAAAGUUUAUGGGAUCUGGAACCCAAAUGUGCUGGUGGAACUCAGGUCACCAUCAGUUUCAUUAAUGGUUAACCAUUUAGUCAAAGAGACUUUUUUUUUCCCACUAGAAGAAAUACUCUAAGAAAUUCAUCACCCCCACCGCCACUUACCCAACAUACUAUGUUAGCAUCUAUUAGCAUGUGCCAAGCCCUCGUCUAGAUACGUACCCUAUCUUUUCAUUUCUUAUGACGACCAUGCAAGGUAAAUCUUUGUGGAUAACCACAUGAGGGUCACGUUUAGCAGUUUGUUCUUUCUGGUUCUUUGUUUCCUCGUCCAUAAAAUGAGAAUAAUGUUACAGCCAGAGCAGUUUAGCAGCUCACCCCUAGUCACACAGUUGGUAAGUAGUAACGUCAGGAUUUGAACUCAGGUCUCACUCCAGAGCUCUGCACCAGAACACCACACUACACUGGCGAAGACACUAUUGCUGAGAAGCUUCUGAAACACAAUUGGUAAUGACUAUUUCGCUCUGGGAGCAAUUUGAAUGAGCAGUUGGUAAAUUGCUUUAUCAUGACGUUGCAUGAUGUCCCAUUGACAUGCAGUGGGGAAGAACGAUGAAUACCCUGAGUAUCUUAGCAGGGAUCUGGCUCUAAAGUUGGAUGAAACCCCCAAGCACAGAGUAUGAAAAUGCUUGGCUGUGUUAUGUAUGUGUGUGUGUGUGUGUGUGUGUGUGUGUGUUGUGCAUCUUGUAUGUUUUAUUCUCUCUGUGUUGUAUGUUGUAUGUGUUGUGGAUGUCUUACGUGUGUUGUGUGUGUAUUACAUGUGUAUGAGUGGGUUGUGGAAGUGAAGGAGACUUGCCUGAUUGAUUUCUUCAACACUGAAGACCAGACAUUCCAACAGCCAACGCUUACAUGGUGCUCGCUCUGAGCCACGCGCUCCUCUCAGUGCUUCCCAUGUAAUAACUCAUUCAUCUUUGCAACAGUCCUGUGCCGUGGCUACUAACAGUAUCCUCAGUGUAUGAAUAAGGAAGUGGAGGCACAGAAGGAUCAAUCAACUUACCCAACAGUAAAAGGUGGAGCUGGGUUGGAACCCAGGGAGAUUGGCUUCAAAUUCUGUGGUCUUUUUUUUUUUCCUUUUCUUCCUUCUUUCUUUUUUAAAAAGAUUUUAUUUAUUUGAGAGAGAGACAGAGAUAGCAAGAGCUAGCAGGAGUGGGGAGGAGAGGGAGAAGCAGGCUUCCCACUGAGCAGGGAGCCCGAUGUGGGACUCGAUCCCAGGACCCUGGGAUCACGACCUGAGCUGAAGGCAGACGCUGAACCGACUGAGCCACCCAGGCGCCCCUAACUGGUGCUCCCAGAUCACCAUGUGGAAGGUGAUAGAAUUAUUCUCCUUAUUCUGUGGCUGGCAAGCCUGUGAACCAUGUGAACACAUGUUGGCUGAGACAGGCAGCACCCUCUAAUUAAAUAUUAGCCGAGGCAAGCCAGCCAUUGCUGGCCUUGUAGUGCGUGUGUGAUUUCUAUCAAUUUAAUGAUUAUUAAGAAUUGAAAAGGACUGUUGUCAAAAUCUUACAUUUCACGCUUGUGAAAUCUGUACAGACAAAAUGGUUUUAUUGAUUUGUUUCCUCUGAAACCGCGGGCUACCUAGAGAUGACCAGUAUCUAUGGAUCAGAUGUUCUCUGGCAUGUGAGGACAGACUGUGAUUUAUUUGAGAUAGGAUGGCAUUCCAUCUUUUGUCUUUCUUUAAUUGUCUUCCUGGUGCCUGUCACUUUGAAGUUGGGAAUAACAGAAAAAGGUCUUUGGUAAUGCUAUUCAAAGUGGAGGAGGGGACCAAGCCUGUUACCAUAGCAACACAAAGGCACUGGUUAUCCAUUCAUCCACCCAACAAACGUCUACUGAGGACAUGUUUUGUGCCGGGCACUGUUUUAGGUGACAAAAACUCAAGGAUGAAUGAGAUAAAGUAGUUGCUUUGUGGAGCAUCUAUUCUAGUGGAGAAAAAAGACAUCAAACAACUGAAUAAAUAUAAACAUAAUAGAAGUCUAGACAGAGAUAAGGGCUAUGAAGAAAAUAAGGCAAGGAAAGCGGAGAGGGAAUGGCAUAUUUUACAUAGUGUGGCCACAGGGGCUUAUCUGAGGCUCUGCAAAGUGGUUAAUCUAAUUGUGUAAAGAAUUAUCUUAAACAUCCCAAGCCUAGACCCCACUCUCAGUGGACUGCUUUCUUCUUGUUCCCCUUCUCCCACAGGAUCUAAGGGUAGCCCAUGUCCCCAAACCCUCAGCUGCAGAAUGGAGGUAGACAAGGGACAUUUAGGCAGGGGAUGAGGAGUAGGUGAAGCUAGACCCUGGUGAGGGGAGCAAAGGGUUCAAGAGCUUGGGGGCCCAUGGAUAAAGGGUCAGUGGUUGUUCAUUGAUUACCUACUCAGUAUCCAUUUCUCUUCUCCCCACUUCCUACCAGCACUCAUAUUUGCCUUCUGGGUUUGGGUGGGAUGUCAAGGAGGUUCCUGACUGUCCUAACAAUCAGCAUCAUCUUAAUCCUUUUACCUCUGCGAUCAGUUCAGAUUGUGAAGUUCAAAGUGUGACACUUGAGUCUUCUGAUGGAUAGAGAAGUGAAGUUCUCUCCCCUCCUGGUGGAGACAGGUAACCCUGGGUCCAUCUUGUGACCUCCAUGGAAGCCAUCCUGAGGACAAAGCCAACACAUGGAAGAGCAGAGAAGUGGAGCCAGACUCCCAGUUGCUCUCGAAACACAUAGCAUUGGAUUUUCCCCUUUGUGAACCAAUUCAUUCAUUCAAAAACAUUUUGAGUGCUUAUUAUGUGCUAGAUAUUCUUCUACAUGUUUUGGGGGAAAAAAAAUCUCUGUCCAGUUUUUGUUGGCUUCUCUCUCUUUUUUUUUUAAAGAUUUUAUUUAUUUGACAGAGAGAGAGGCAGCGAGAGAGGGAACACAAGCAAGGGGAGUGUGAGAGGGAGAAGCAGGCCUCCCGCAGAGCAGGGAGCCCGAUGUGGGGCUCGAUCCCAGGACCCUGGGAUCAUGACCCGAGCCGAAGGCAGACGCCCAACGACUGAGCCACCCAGACGCCCCUGUUGGCUUCUCUUUUACUAGCAUGGGAGGAGUGGUGGGCUGAUGAUCACCAGAAUCAGUCUGCCUAGGUUUAAAUCCUGGCUCCACAACUCUGUGGCUGUGUGACAUCAGGCAAGUUACUAAACCUCUCUGUGCAUCAGUUUCCGCACACAAAAAGGGGAUAAUUCUACUGCCUACCUCAUAGGAUUGUUGUGAGGAUUAAAUGAGAGAAUGUGAAGGGUGUGGGACAAGACUGGGCAUGAGUAUGUGCUUGAUGCAGGGGCUCUGAUAUGCCACCCACGCUUUGGGAAUGCCUUAUUUCUCCCAGCCAUAGGGAGUGCUUUACAAGUAUUGCCCCAGGGGAAGAUGACCAUGUUGCCCCAAGGCCAGGGUCUCUUUCUGGGAACAGUCUACAUCCCACGACUGAUCUAUGAGGAACUAUAAGUGCUGGACCCCUUGCCUCAACUCAGGACCACUCUGAAAGGUCACACUGGUUCUGGAACUCUCCCUGGGGUUGAUGGACGUCUUUGUUGGGCUUCCAUCUCAGUUCAACUUCUCCCUCUGCCCAAUUCUGCUUCUUUUUUCUCCCUUUCUGUGGAUGUUAAUCCCAACAGCACAUCAUGCAUGCUGGUCUCUGAGUUUCUUCUCAGGAACACAACCUACUCAAUAAAUGUUCGCUGUUAUCCUCACCCUCAUCCUCAUCCAAAAGCAUCCUAAGUGAUAGAGAAAAGAAGAGAAAGUGUGUAAAGAGGUUUUCUUACUAACUGGGAAAGGGUGACCAUACGGGGCAGUGCAGAAUGGCUAGAAUGACCACACAUGUUUUGUGGAGCUGAAGGGUUGUUAUGUGGAGCAGGGGAAUCCUUCUCAAAUCCUCGUCUCCAGUUCUGGGUUGGACUUGGUGACUUGAACCUCAAGUAGAGCUCUGUGUAUGAGCUUGACUGGUCAACAGUAAGAGUUUUCUUUCUUUCUUUUUUUUUUUUUAGAUUUUUUUUUUUAGAUUUUUCUUUCUUAAUGGACUGUACCACCCUCUCCCCUCCAAUAUUAAGGGUGUAGUACAGGGUUACACUUUUACCUUGUUAUUCAAUUUCCUGCCACAGCUGUUUUGGGAAUCUGGCAAGCACUUUUCACAUACAAAAACUCAGUUUUUAGUGCUGUGAUGGGUGGACCAGUUGGAAAGGGAUGGAGGCUCCUGGUUUUAUAGUCACAUGGGGGCAGGAGUUUGCUUUCUUGAAUCUGGAGAGCUAUUGGGACACUGGUAUUCACAGGCUGAAUCUGGCAAAUGAAAACCAGGAUUUAGCACAUACCCUGCUCAUAGCUUUGCUGGAGGGGGAAGCUUGUUUCUGUCUUCUGGCUUUUUAAGCCAAGUGAUGGUGACGCAGGAAAGCAAACUGGCUGUGCUUUCUCUAAAAUGCUGAUGGAUUCAGCUGAAUCCCACAGCAUCAUUCAAGGGCCCACCACGGGCAAGCAUGGGGUGUGUGUGUGUGUGUGUGUGUGUGUGUGUGUGAGAGAGAGAGAGAGAGAGAGAGAGAAGUCAGGUCCCUACCAUGUGCAGGGGAGAUCAGCCAUGUUACCAAACAACACGUUCCCCAGUACAGUGGAUUUAGAACCAGACAGACCAGUUCUCAGAACUUGAGUUGAGUUCUAGUCCUGUUACUGAAGGUUGUGGUUUUAUAUUCGGGUUGACACAAAGCUCUGGAGACCAGUGGGUAGGAGGAGGUGGUAACUCAGGAAAAGGCAACUGUCUUGUUUGCCAGGUUAUUUAUGAAUAUUCAAUUUUGCUCUAGAAAAUGAGAUAAAUUAAGUAUAGAAGCAAGUAGCUUAUGAGAUUUUUUAGACACAGUAGAAUAAAGAGAACAUAUAUGGGUUGAAUAUAGAUCAAAUGAGAACGUUACUUGUAGACAAGGAGUAAGAAGACCAAGUAAACCUUAAAUAUUUAUAAGGCGUGGAUCAUGUCUUCUCUAGAUUGAAGCAACGUCACUCCUAUGUUGGCCACUCAGUGGUGACACCCCAAGAAACACAGAUAAAACCUGCAGCUGCUCAGGAGAUUCAUUGGGGUGCUGCAGUGUGAACAGGUGCCCUUGGCCCCGAGUCUUCCCCAUAGAGGCGGUUUGUGUGUGAACUUCAGGCCCCCCCUCCAGCCGGUUGCCUUGGCUCGCCCUCAAUGCUGACCUCUGCAGCCACACCAGCAGGAGAGAAAGCUGCUGUGGUGGAGAGAGAACAAGAGAUAGAAUGUUGUGUGACCCAGGAUUCAGCUAGGGUGAUCCUUCUACCUGCUGGCACUUAUCCUACGGGUGUUCACCUGUCCUGUCUCUUUGCCUUGCUUCUUUCCAGUGUGUGUUCUAACUUGAUUAAAUAAAUGCCGAGACUCAAGCAUCUUCAUUUGGCCCGUGAGCCUUUCUGUUCCAUGACCUCUGGCAUAGGCUGCCUGGAGGUGUCAGAAGCUACCAUUGCCUCCAGGAAACUUCACAAAUGACAUGGGAGUCGUAGCUCAGGCUUCCUGGAAGCAAAGCCCAAGACAUAAAUUUUUUUUUUUUUAAGAUUUUAUUUAUUUAUUUGACAGAGAGAGACACAGCGAGAGAGGGAACACCAGCAAGGGGAGUGGGAGAGGGAGAAGCAGGCUUCCCGCAGAGCAGGGAGCCCGAUGUGGGACUUGAUCCCAGGACCCUGGGAUCAUGACCUGAGCCGAAGGCAGACGCUUAACCGACUGAGCCACCCAGGCGCCCAAGACAUAAAUUUUUGUGCAAGUGAUUUAUGAGGGGGUUCUGUCUGGAGACAAAGUCUGUGAGGAAGUGAGAAAAACAGGAUGGGAGAAGGGAAGAGGCCACACAAAGAUGAGGUUCAGCUGAUGUGUAACCUCAGCCUGGUGCCAUGGAGAGCUGCAAAGCGUGGAUACUCUGCAGGUCUGACCUUCCUUGAGGCAAGAGGGCCGGUCUUUUGUACCUGGUGUUAGGGAAUGGAUGCGCCAGCCUAGGAAAGGAGGUCUGGCUGGGGCAUUGGCAGCAUCUGCUACGGGUGGUUGGUCUGAACUCCCCUCCCAGGUGGGUUACAGUGGUAAGGGAGGGAAGAGAGAACUUAGUAGGUUGGGAAAGUAGUGGGAGAAAGGACUGGAAAGGCACGAUGCCAUAUGACUUGGAAAGGUCUGAAGCCAGAGCAAGAAGUUAACACCUGAUUCCAUGGGCAGGAAGCCAUAGGGAGCCAUGGUGUGCUCUCGAGCAUAUGUGUGAUUGGAGCAAUGUCUAGGAAGAGAGCCGUAUGGCGGUGGUAUGUGUUGGGAGGAAGCUGCUGGCAAGGAGGGCAGCUGGGCCUGGUCUGGGCACUACUAUGGAUAGCUUCAAGCAUCUCUCUCCUCGGCAGCCUUUGGGCAGCUCUAUUCACUCAGAAGGCCUAGUUUCGCAGCCCUCUUCCUGGUCUCAAUCUUACCUGAUUCUCUUAAGAAUCAGCCUUGUCCUGAUGGAAAAGGGACUGGUACCACAUGCCCAGGAUCCCUAGGCCAGGCUGGGGUGGGCAGGGGUGGGGAAAGGUGCGUUGCUGAAGGGUCUCCCUUGGAGAAGAACACCUCCUAAAAAGCUCAGCACAGACUGAGGCUGGCUGCAGAGGGCUGGUUAAUGCUGGAGUCGUACACACUGAGCAGGCUCCAAGUGAGGUUACCUGCUCUCUAAGUAAUACAGAGCUUCUAAGCCUCUGGCUUUUGUGCAAGGCACUGUGGCCACCUGAUCAGCAGCAGGCUGAAGAUUCUUGGAUUCAGACCAAGCCAGCCUCCAAGCAAUGAUCCUUCCUUAGGGCAGAGGUUUUGACUGUCUAUCAAAACUUGAAGGGCAGUGGUUCCUAAACUCUAACAUGCAAAAAACACUACGUGGAGGGCUUGCUAAAAAGCACAGGUUUCUGGGCCUCACCUGCAGAGAUUCAGACUCAGCAGGUCUAGGGUGGGGGUGAGGAAUUUGCAUUUUAAAUAUGUACCCUUGUGACUGGGACCAGGCUGUGAAAGGGCCGUAAGUGGGGAGAGGGAAGAUCCAGCACUGAUGUACUCAGGAAACCCAGCAGCCCUGUGAAGUAGGUAAUAUUACUUUCUUUCUUUCUUUCUUUUUUUUUUUUUAAAGAUUUUAUUUAUUUAUUCGACAGGGAGAGACACAGCGAGAGAGGGAACUUCCACAAGCAGGGGGAGUGGGAGAGGGAGAAGCAGGCUCCCUGCGGAGCAGGGAGCCCGACGCGGGGCUCAAUCCCAGGACCCUGGGAUCAUGACCUGAGCCCAAGGCAGAUGCUUAAUGACUGAGCCACCCAGGCGCCCUAGGGUCUCGCCUGGUAUAAGUGAAUGUAUAGUCAUCACCGAAGCAAUGUCUGCUGAUGGACUCAGCCUACCUACCAGAAUAAAGGGUCUGUGGUCAGAGAGAACUUGAUACCAAUCCGGCGCUCAGCUCUCCUGUUUCAUUUGGACCUAGGCCAUGUUCUUCUUGGACCUGUCAUCACCCCCUUUUCUUAUUUCUCUGGGGUUACCUCCCCAGCCUGAUGGGAAGCAUCAGCUCUUCUCCAGGGGAGCCUGAAAUCCAUGACACUUCCAGGCAGCAGGCAGAAGACGCACUGCUGGAGAGGCCGGGCAGCCUGACUCUGACCCAGGCAACCCGUGAGGCCGAGGGCUCAGAUGAAUCCAACAUCCAGAAGCGGAGACAUUUCACAAGAGAGUCAGAAGACCCGGCCACCGUGGGCCUGCACUCAGGCAUGGCACAGCCCCUGGAGCUGAAAAGCUGGCCCUGUUUUAGCUCAGCUCUCCGACUGGCCACGGUCCUCACCCCUCCUGCAACAUUUGCUCUGGGGCCGUCUGAAAUAAAGCGCAUGCAUGCAUGCACGCUGGGUAGCUUCUCUCCUCACACUAGCUGUGGGACUUGAGCAAGUCUUGCAAGACGGACUUCCCAACGACCCCCCGAGUCCAUGAUGCCACCCCUUCAGUCCCUGGACACUGCUGUCCAGCCGGCCCAGGUGGGUCCUGACUUCGCAGCUGGAUCUGCCUUCCCAGGUGGGGAGAGCUGCGGGCAGCCAGUUGCAGCUGCACCUGCAUCCGUGUGGGGUCUCUACUCGGGAAGGAGGCAUACGUCAUGGUGAAGGUGUGAUGAGAUGCAGGAGGGCUCGGAGUCCUAGCGGGGCUUGGCCUCAGAACAACUACAAAUGAGAUUGGAGCCGUCAGAUGGGCGGUUGCCACUGAAAAGUCUUCCCUUUCCAAUCCUAAGGUCCUUGUUCUAGAACCAGGUGUCACAGCAACCGCCUGUGAAGUCAGCUGGGUUUGCUCAGCUUUGCAGGAAAAGCUACUUCUUCCUCCCGGGACUAUUAAGCUAGUGUACCUUUUAAAAGGUUUUAAACUUUUAUUGCUUCUUUGAAAUAAAGCAUUCCUCUCAUUCCAAAAUGAAAUGCAUUUCAAAUGGAUUUCCCAAGAUUUUCUAUAUUUUGAUUACAAAAAUAAUCCAUCCAUGGUUUUUAUAGAAAAAUUGGGGAAAUACAUAAAGGUGCAGAAGGAAAUGAAAGCCUCCUAUAAUCACUGUUAAUAUUUUUGGUUUAUGUCACUCUAGACUAUUUUCUGUAUACUCCGAUCAUUCAUAUAUAUAUAUGUGUGUGUGUGUUUGUGUGUAAAUAUGUAUUAUAUAUAGGUACAUGUAUUUUCCACAUAUGAUGUCAGAUUCUUAUUAUAUAUACUAUUUUAUAAUAUACAGCAUAAGGCUUGGAAAACAGUAGUCAAUAAAUAAAUAUUGCCACUGCUAAUAAAUAUCAUUUAUUUAAUGCCUAUCAUAUGCCAGGCAUGAUAUUAGGUGUCUUACAUACACUGUCCCACUUAGUCCUCAGAACGGUUCCAUGAUACAGAAACUAUCUUCCUCAUGUUUUAGAGAUGAGAAGCUUGGGGCACCUGGGUGGCUCAGUUGGUU
Molecule: long non-coding RNA, 10839 nt
Organism: Mirounga angustirostris (Northern elephant seal)
Lineage: Eukaryota; Metazoa; Chordata; Mammalia; Carnivora; Phocidae
Exons: 5
Source: RefSeq, a predicted model, not a curated record